UGCCGUCGCCAAUGCCUCCUCUUUUGCGACGGCAAAAACUGAGGGGUCGCGAUUGUGGAAAAUAUUUGCGACCGUAACAACUGCCGUCGCCACUGGGCGUGGCAAACCCAAAUGGUUUACUUCGGCAAGAGUUAGCCGUAGUAAAAUACUAAAAGUUUCCGUCGCGUUUCUUCAAUUCUUCCCGUGGUAUGAAAACCACGACAGUCGCCCUCUGCUCAAAAAGAAGAAGAAAAAAAACUCUCUCAAAACGGAGGCCGAUCUCUUCGUCUCUCUUGUCCUCCCUCUCUCUCCGUCAUCGCAAAUCCCAUCUUCCUCCAAUACUUCUGUCUAAGCUCUUCCUUAUCGGCAAACCAGAUUGGGGAAAUCUUUUGGGGGUAUCGUUCAGAUCUAGAUCCCUCACCUGCAAAAGAGUCAAUUGGGUUGCAUAUCGUAAAUGACGUCGGUGAGUCCGUUUCCGGGGAGCUCUAGCUGGCUGGAGACCAGAGCUAAGAUGGGUUUCAGUUUAGGAUUCUUGGUCGGCAUCUUUGGAGUUCUAAUUCUCUCUCAUGCCGCUUAAUCAACUGUUCAGUAUUGGUUUCAUUUGGUUACAGAUAAGUUGAUAAUUGAAGAUUAUGGAGGAAGAGUUUUCAGGACCUCCAAUCACUGUGGUCGCAGAAUUGGUUCGAGGGUUAGUGUUGAGUUUGCGGGCAUGACUCACUUUUAUGGGUCUGGUUUCUAUUUUCGCAGAACUUGUUGUAGCAGUGUAAGACAAAGUUAUGCUUGACCAAUGUGAAGGAUUGUUGGCUUCAGCAGUAGCUAUGCAGAGUUUAUGCAAAAAAAUCAGGGCUCCAUUUUCUGGCCGUUGUUCCUUUGCUGUUUUUUGCUACUGUCUUGAUCCAUUACUUUUAUUCAGAUUCUGUGAACAACGUGCUAUUGAAUUUUCCAUCUGCUAUAGAUUCAGGUAUGGCAGAAAAGAGUGGAAAAAUGAAAAUGACGACAUACUUACAAGCUGAUAAUGGAGAAGGUCAAGAUACUCAAAAAGAAACACACAGAGUGUGUAAUGACCAAACUAUUGGUGCUGUUUCUAAUAAAGACACAGGUUAUCAACUUAGAUCAAGAAGAUGGAAACGAAUGAUGGCGGCAAACACUGAAAAACCAGAAAUGGAGAUGGUUUCACAAGAUGAUCAUGAAGAAAGAGCAUAUACUGAAAGAAAAAGACAGAGAAUGUAUAGUGAUCAACCUCCUGCUACUGUUCUUAAUAUGAACAAACAUGGUCAAAUUAGAUCGAAGAGGUGGAAACAAAGGGUGGAGAUCAUGUGCAGUGACCACGCUGAGUAGAAAUGGUAGUGAUUUGACAGCUACAACCAUUGGUAAAGCACGUUGGCAGGAACUUGACCAUGUUGUGGAAGAACUGGAGAAAAUUGUUGUUGUCAAUCUUCAGCACCGAUCAAUAUCUCAUUGGAAAUGUGCAGAAAUCAUCACUAAUAUUAGAGAAGGUGUUGUACUGUGUUUUGCCAAGUACUUAGAAAGCAUUCCUUAUUUUCUUUUGUUCUCUGGUUGAUGACAAGUGUUGUUCAAUUGAUCAAACAGGGUUAUCAGCUAUAUAUGUAUUUGAAUCUGGUAUUCAUGUUUUGGUGCAUUUUAUAUAAAAUUUAUUAUUUGGCU
Long non-coding RNA from Rosa rugosa (rugosa rose), 1644 nucleotides. RefSeq lists it as uncharacterized. The transcript is spliced from 8 exons. NCBI's taxonomy places the organism in Eukaryota, Viridiplantae, Streptophyta, Magnoliopsida, Rosales, Rosaceae. The record is from RefSeq and is a predicted model, not a curated record.